Molecule: long non-coding RNA, 923 nt
Organism: Chrysemys picta bellii (western painted turtle)
Lineage: Eukaryota; Metazoa; Chordata; Testudines; Emydidae
Source: RefSeq, a predicted model, not a curated record
CCAGCACCGGGCAUGCGUGUCAUGUGAUGUCCCGCGUUGCCUGCUGGGAAGUGUAGUCCUCAGUCAUUGACAGCACAGGGGCAGUCUCUCGCUCACAGGCCAGGGUCGGAGGCGGAGCUGCCUGAAGCCAGUCUUGUAUGCAGUGCAGUGGUGUGGGUCCCAGCACCUUAGAGAGACAACGACAAAAUAACGAAACAAGAUUUGUCUAAUUCUAGCACUGCAAGCGUAACUUUGGAUCUGAAAAUCAAGAUGAGUUCAUCUUCAUCAGGUGUGUGGCAGACGGACCUGCUUUGCCAAGGUGAUCAAUUUGGCUGGUUUUGGAUUACAAUUCCCUUCAAGAACAGGACCCCGGCCUUCCACAAUGCCCGAGAUCGAAAGGUGGAGAAAUACAUCCCUCUGGCCAAAGCUUUGAGAGCUAAGAGUUACCAGGUUCAGACACACGUGCUGAUCAUUGGAGUCCUAGGCGCAUGGGACCCCAGUAACGAGCGAGUGCUGAGAGAAUGCGGAAUCGGUCAGCGCUACGCUUGGCUGAUGUGGCAACUCAUGUUGUCGGAUGCCAUCGGGUGGUCAAGGAACAUCUACAUAGAUCACAUCACCGGACAUCGGCAAUACCAGGAGGGAUGAGCUGAAGUCGGGAAAGUAAUUGAAAUACGUUCCUCAUUGAUUGUAUUUUCUAAAUGGACAACCUACCCUAAAUUCUCAAUUACUGAGGGACACUCUUCACUCAUUGCUAUAUUUGCUUUCCACAACCAACUCUCUCUAUAAUUUUUCGUGAGUGAUGUACUUGGAUGCUAAUACCUAAACUGUAUUCUUAAAUUUAUUCACCUAAAUUUGGGUUAUUGCUGAUUAGGCACUAUAUGUAGCUUAUGACUUUAAAAACAAACUUUGUAUUUGUGGAUAAUCUAAGCACUAUACCCAGAUGU